Non-coding RNA from Lupinus albus (white lupine), 350 nucleotides. The record is from the annotation of a GenBank genome assembly. Lineage: Eukaryota; Viridiplantae; Streptophyta; Magnoliopsida; Fabales; Fabaceae.
AGAGCCUAUAAACUUCUUAGAAAAACGAUCAAGGAGUUUAGAAUGAGACAUUGGAAACUUCUGACUCGAGUAGGUGAUUAUGUUGCUUUGAUAUAGAUCGGACAAAAUUAGGUUAUAUGUUUCAAGUAAAGGUGCACUUGACAUGUAACUCUGUGCCAGCAGCCGCGGUAAGACAGAGGAUGCAAGCGUUAUCUGGAAUGAUUGGGCGUAAAGCGUCUGUAGGUGGCUUUUUAAGUUCGUCGUCAAAUCCCAGGGCUCAACCCUGGACAGGCGGUGGAAACUACCAAGCUGGAUAGGAAAUAUUUUCCAUAUUUGCAUAUUAACAUUGUUGUCUUCACUAUUAUGUAGCC